UCCUUUUAUUCAGUCCUUUUCCUUUUCCCUCCCAAACCACGUAAUCAUCUCUUUCAGCCUCAAAUAAAAGUUGUAUAACCAUUUCAUAACCACUGCUUUAGAGUUGCUAUCAAAAAGGCACAAGAAGAAGGACAUAAAAGUAAGGGGAGAGAAAUCAAAAGGAGAGGAGGUGAGGGAUACUCCAAUAAUUGAGAAACAGGGUGUGUGUGCAUCUUCAGAAUUCUCCUUUGUUGAUUAGCCCUCGAGACUGACCAUAGCAAGCUCAGUGGUCUGGUGAAAUUUUCCUCUAAUUUUUAUGGACAGAUGGGAAGCUGUUCUCCCCUCCGAGGCUCUGUUUUCCUUCCAAAUAGUUAAAAUAUUUUCUUUGAACUCUCCCAGAAUCAUUUAUUUUUGUCAUAAAUCCAUUCACAGAAUCCAAUUACAUAACGGAUAUGAGUUUUCCACACCCCCAAAAAGCUAAAAUAUUUACUCACAUUUUCCAGCAUUUUCCAUUUUCUACUCAUUUAUUUUUUAGUUCAACAAAACUUAAAUAACAUUUCCAUCACAAUUCUAUUUAUUGUUCCCCCACAAUGCUAGCUGAAAAUACCAACUGGAAAUGUACUCCAUUCCCACAUAGUAACUGCACUUCAAAAGACAAGAGAGUGACAAAGUAUGUCCAAUUUUUUCUUUUUUACACUUGAACUGAUUUUGGUUAGACUCUCCAGUUUUACAUUGUUUUUUGUAGAAAGUUCAGUCAUGUUGAAAAAGUCAGUUCCACUUUAUAUUUUUUCCACCUAAACAUUCACCUGUUGCCACAAAUCCAACGUGUCUAAAACCAAAUUUACUAUCUUCCUUCAGUCAGACUAGUUCUGCACUUCAACUUCCUUGCACCUGGCUUCCAGCCAAAUCAGCUGGAAACCUUACUCCUUGGAUGAAUGAAGUAAUACAUAGAAGGGAUGGGUAUAAGGCAUUUCAAGGAGGAUCAGCAAGACUUGGUGACUGACUCAGAGGAGGCAGUUAAAGCCUGACUCAAGGAAGAUUACCACCCAUCCUGCCCCUCACCUCCUCCUUGUCCUCCUCAACUCCACUCUCUUCCUGCUGUACCAAGGCUAAACUGGCAGCCUGAAUUUCUAGGGCCGCCAUAAUCUGAACCUAACCAAUUGCCGUGGACUUUUCCACUUUUCCUAAGUGGUUAUAUCCUAAUCCUACCCAUUCUCAAGGUCCAGCCCAAGAACCAAACCUUCCAUAAAAACUUGCUUUUCUAGAAUUCUAGAGUCUCAAGAUUGGAAGAGGAGAGGCUUCUAUUCUGAUUUCCUUUGUUCAUAAAGGCACCAGCAACCAGUGCUCUAGGCAUCUGAUUUAAUCAGUGCUUCAGUUCUGUGAGCCUCAUCUUCCAACCAGACUAUCAGCUCUGUAAGGGAAAGAUAAUCCCUCAGCAUUUGCCGUGUCUGCACCCUCACCCCUGCCCCACUGAAAUUAAGGGAGAAUGUGUGAUUAAUUUUCUUCUCAUCAUGUGUCUGUAGUAUGUUCUCUACUUCUCCAUCUUUAACACAUCACUUUAUCCGUUUCUUUUUUCAUUAUAAUUUGUUCAAUUCUGUCUGUGCCUUAUCCAUUACCUUCUUUUUUAUUUUUAUUUUUAUUUUUUUAAGAUGGAGUCUCGCUCUGUUGCCAGGCUGGAGUGCAGUGGUGUUCCCGGCUCACUGGAACCUCCGCCUCCUAGAUUCAAGUGAUUCUCCUGCCUCAGCCUCCCGAGUAGCUGGAACCACAGGCACGCACCACCAUGCACAUUUCACACUGAUCUCUGCCCUCAUCUUCUUGUGGCAUUCUCUCUCUUCUCUCUUUCUCUGUCUCUGUGUGUGCAUGUGUGUCUGUCUGCAAACUUCCCCUUUUUAUAAGAACACCAGUCAGAUUAUAUUAAUGCCUACUCUAAUGACCUCAUUUUAACUUGAUAACCUCUGUCUCCAAAUAAUGCCAUAUUCUGAGGUAUUGGGGGUUAGGGCUUCAAGAUAUUUUUUUAGGAGAGGGGAUAGAAUUUAACUCAUAAUGAUGAAACAAACUCUAAUCUAUAUAAAAUUGAAGACUGAAUUAGAAAGAUGAAGAGAGUAUUGAGAAAUUCACCCAAAAUAUACCCCAGAGAGACAAAGGUGUGUGUGUGUGUUUGUGUGUAUUUAUUCUGAAUACAUAGAUGUGUAUUUGUUUAUUUAUCUAUUUACUUCAGUUAAGAUACAUGAAGGAUAGAUUGAAAGGUCCCAACAUUCCAGCAUAUCUAAUAGUUUUAUUGUAGAAGGCAUUGGUGGCUGCCUACCCAGUUGCCAUUGCUUUUUCGUCAUCCUUAAUAGCAGAAUCUUGAUUUUUCUUUUCAGGAAGACAAUGUGCCUAACUAAAAAUACUUAAUUUCUCAGCCUCUCUUGCAACAAAGAUAGUCAUGUGACCAGUUCUGGACAGUGAGGUAGCAGCAGAAGUUCCUAGGCUGACCAUUCUUUUCUUAGUACAAAGUCAAAGUCCCAUUAGGAGAAAGUGCUUCACCCCAUAGUGCUUUGCCCACUGCCCCUGACCUUAAGACAGAAGUCCCAGUUGAUUUUUAUAGAAUAAUUUAACAAACCUUCAACAAACAGAUAAUCUCUACCUUUCAAAAAAUAGUGAGGGUGUUCUCACUCAUAGGUGGAAAUUGAACAAUGAGAACACGUGGACACAGGAAGGGGAACAUCACACACCGGGGCCUGUUGUGGGGUGAGGGGAGCGGGGAGGGAUAGGAUUAGGAGAUAUACCUAAUGUAAAUGACGAGUUAAUGGGUGCAGCACACCAACAUGGCACAUGUAUACAUACGUAACAAACCUGCAUAUUGUGCACAUGUACCCUAGAACUUAAAGUAUAAUAAAAAAAAAAAAGAAAAAGAAAAAUAGUGAGGAAAAGCACUCAAUUCAUUUUAUGAGGUUAUUAUACUUUUGUAACAAAGCUAUUAAAAAAA
Molecule: long non-coding RNA, 2947 nt
Filed under: Homo sapiens (human)
Lineage: Eukaryota; Metazoa; Chordata; Mammalia; Primates; Hominidae
Description: HSALNT0313872
Source: RNAcentral